AAUCUUCCACAAUGGACGGAAGUCUGAUGGAGCAACGCCGCGUGAGCGAAGAAGGUUUUCGGAUCGUAAAGCUCUGUUGUAAGGGAAGAACACGUACGGGAGUCACUGCACGUACCUUGACGGUACCUUAUCAGAAAGCCACGUCUAACUACGUGCCAGCAGCCGCGGUAAUACGUAGGUGGCAAGCGUUGUCCGGAAUUAUUGGGCGUAAAGCGCGCGCAGGCGGUCCUUUAAGGUUGAUGGGAAAACCCAAGGCUCAACCGUGGAGGGUCAUUGGAAACUGGAGGACUUGAGUACAGAAGAGGAAAGCGGAAUUCCACGUGUAGCGGUGAAAUGCGUAGAGAUGUGGAGGAACACCAGUGGCGAAGGCGGCUUUCUGGUCUGUAACUGACGCUGAGGCGCGAAAGCGUGGGGAGCAAACA
Molecule: ribosomal RNA, 422 nt
Filed under: uncultured bacterium
Lineage: Bacteria
Description: partial 16S ribosomal RNA
Rfam family: Bacterial small subunit ribosomal RNA
Source: RNAcentral